UGGGGAAUCUUGGACAAUGGGGGCAACCCUGAUCCAGCCAUGCCGCGUGAGUGAUGAAGGCCUUAGGGUCGUAAAGCUCUUUCGCCUGUGAAGAUAAUGACGGUAGCAGGUAAAGAAACCCCGGCUAACUCCGUGCCAGCAGCCGCGGUAAUACGGAGGGGGUUAGCGUUGUUCGGAAUUACUGGGCGUAAAGCGCACGUAGGCGGACCAGAAAGUUGGGGGUGAAAUCCCGGGGGCUCAACCCCGGAACUGCCUCCAAAACUAUUGGUCUAGAGUUCGAGAGAGGUGAGUGGAAUUCCAAGUGUAGAGGUGAAAUUCGUAGAUAUUUGGAGGAACACCAGUGGCGAAAGGCGGCUCACUGGCUCGAUACUGACGCUGAGGUGCGAAAAGUGUGGGGAGCAAAACAGGAUUAGAUACCCUGGUAGUCCCACACCGUAAAACGAUGAAUGCCAGUCGUCGGGUAGCAUGCUAUUCGGUGACACACCUAACGGAUUAAGCAUUCCGCCUGGGGAGUACGGUCGCAAGAUU
This 528-nucleotide ribosomal RNA is filed under the name uncultured bacterium. Its description in RNAcentral is "bacterial SSU rRNA". It matches the Rfam family "Bacterial small subunit ribosomal RNA", at positions 355 to 895 of the family's 1533-position model. The record is from RNAcentral.